GAUGAACGCUGGCGGCGUGCCUAACACAUGCAAGUCGAGCGAACAGACGCGGAGCUUGCCCCUCUGACGUCAGCGGCGGACGGGAGAGUAACACGUGUAUACCCUCCCUAUAAGUCUGUGAUAACUUCGGGAAACCGUACCUAAUACCGGAUAAUAUAUUGAACCGCAUGGUUCAAUAGUGAAAGCCGGUUUUGCUGUCACUUAUAGAUUGAUCCGCUCCUGAUUAGCUAGUUGGUGAGGUAACGGCUUACCAAGGCAACGAUGUGUAGCCGACCUGAGAGGAGGACCGGCCACACUGGAACUGAGACACGGCCCAGACUCCUACGGGAGGCAGCAGUGGGGAAUUUUGGACAAUGGGCGAAAGCCUGAUCAAGCAAUGCCGGGUGAAGGAAGAAGCUUUCGGGUUGUAAAAUCCUUUUGUACGGAACAAAACAGAUCUGGUUAAUACCCGGGGCUAAUGACGGUACCGUAAGAAGAAGCCCCGGCUAACUACGUG
Molecule: ribosomal RNA, 496 nt
Filed under: uncultured bacterium
Lineage: Bacteria
Description: partial 16S ribosomal RNA
Rfam family: Bacterial small subunit ribosomal RNA
Source: RNAcentral